AGUGGGGGAUAACGUUCGGAAACGGACGCUAAUACCGCAUACGUCCUACGGGAGAAAGCAGGGGACCUUCGGGCCUUGCGCUAUCAGAUGAGCCUAGGUCGGAUUAGCUAGUUGGUGAGGUAAUGGCUCACCAAGGCUACGAUCCGUAACUGGUCUGAGAGGAUGAUCAGUCACACUGGAACUGAGACACGGUCCAGACUCCUACGGGAGGCAGCAGUGGGGAAUAUUGGACAAUGGGCGAAAGCCUGAUCCAGCCAUGCCGCGUGUGUGAAGAAGGUCUUCGGAUUGUAAAGCACUUUAAGUUGGGAGGAAGGGCAUUAACCUAAUACGUUGGUGUCUUGACGUUACCGACAGAAUAAGCACCGGCUAACUCUGUGCCAGCAGCCGCGGUAAUACAGAGGGUGCAAGCGUUAAUCGGAAUUACUGGGCGUAAAGCGCGCGUAGGUGGUUUGUUAAGUUGAAUGUGAAAUCCCCGGGCUCAACCUGGGAACUGCAUCCAAAACUGGCAAGCUAGAGUAUGGUAGAGGGUAGUGGAAUUUCCUGUGUAGCGGUGAAAUGCGUAGAUAUAGGAAGGAACACCAGUGGCGAAGGCGACUACCUGGACUGAUACUGACACUGAGGUGCGAAAGCGUGGGGAGCAAACAGAAUUAGAUACCCUGGUAGUCCACGCCGUAAACGAUCUCAAAAAGCCGUUGGGAGUCUUGAACUCUUAGUGGCGCAGCUAACGCAUUAAGUUGUCCGCCUGGGGAGUACGGCCGCAAGGUUAAAACUCAAAUGAAUUGACGGGGGCCCGCACAAGCGGUGGAGCAUGUGGUUUUAAUUCGAAGCAACGCGAAGAACCUUACCAGGCCUUGACAUCCAAUGAACUUUCCAGAGAUGGAUUGGUGCCUUCGGGAACAUUGAGACAGGUGCUGCAUGGCUGUCGUCAGCUCGUGUCGUGAGAUGUUGGGUUAAGUCCCGUAACGAGCGCAACCCUUGUCCUUAGUUACCAGCACGUAAUGGUGGGCACUCUAAGGAGACUGCCGGUGACAAACCGGAGGAAGGUGGGGAUGGCGUCAAGUCAUCAUGGCCCUUACGGCCUGGGCUACACACGUGCUACAAUGGUCGGUACAAAGGGUUGCCAAGCCGCGAGGUGGAGCUAAUCCCAUAAAACCGAUCGUAGUCCGGAUCGCAGUCUGCAACUCGACUGCGUGAAGUCGGAAUCGCUAGUAAUCGUGAAUCAGAAUGUCACGGUGAAUACGUUCCCGGGCCUUGCACACACCGCCCGUCA
RNAcentral lists this ribosomal RNA (1270 nucleotides) under uncultured bacterium. RNAcentral's name for it is "bacterial SSU rRNA". It matches the Rfam family "Bacterial small subunit ribosomal RNA", at positions 135 to 1399 of the family's 1533-position model. The record is from RNAcentral.